CCUACGGGAGGCAGCAGUGGGGAAUAUUGGGCAAUGGGCACAAGCCUGACCCAGCAACGCCGCGUGAAGGAAGAAGGCUUUCGGGUUGUAAACUUCUUUUGUCAGGGACGAAGCAAGUGACGGUACCUGACGAAUAAGCCACGGCUAACUACGUGCCAGCAGCCGCGGGAAUACGUAGGUGGCAAGCGUUACACGGAUUACUGGGGUGUAAAGGCGGUGGGGGCGGGACUGCAAGUCAGAUGUGAAAACCACGGGCUCAACCUGUGGCCUGCAUUUGAAACUGUAGUUCUUGAGUACUGGAGAGGCAGACGGAAUUCCUAGUGUAGCGGUGAAAUGCGUAGAUAUUAGGAGGAACACCAGUGGCGAAGGCGGUCUGCUGGACAGCAACUGACGCUGAGGCGCGAAAGCGUGGGGAGCAAACAGGAUUAGAUACCCCUGUAGUC
This 443-nucleotide ribosomal RNA is filed under the name uncultured bacterium. RNAcentral describes it as "partial 16S ribosomal RNA". It matches the Rfam family "Bacterial small subunit ribosomal RNA", at positions 338 to 795 of the family's 1533-position model. The record is from RNAcentral.